This 4720-nucleotide long non-coding RNA is filed under the name Gossypium barbadense (sea-island cotton). RNAcentral's name for it is "long non-coding RNA (GBAR_LNC019002)". The record is from RNAcentral. Lineage: Eukaryota; Viridiplantae; Streptophyta; Magnoliopsida; Malvales; Malvaceae.
ACACAAGAGAUUUAACGAGGUUCGGUAAAUUAUACCUACGUCCUCGGGCACUAACACCAGAUGAUAACUUUACUAUCUCCAAAAUAUUACAAACAAAUAGAAUUCCUUAAGAAUUCUCAAAUGGGAGAAGAGAGAAAACUAAGAGAGAAAGAUUGGUUGGGAUGGUUGAAAUGAAAAAUGAAAAGGCCUAUUUAUAGUUGAGGUUCAGGGACUAACUUGCAAAUGGCCUAAAAAAUUAGGGACCAAAAUUGCAAUUAUCCCAUUCAACUUUUCAACAUUCGGUGCAACUUGCUCAACCUUUAUAACAAGUUGCUUCCUACCUUUGUUGACUUUUCAACAAUCUCCACCUUGAAGAUUUGAUUAGGAUAAUCACAUCUUCACAUACUUCCUUCAACUCCCCAAAUUCGAUAAAGCUAUCUUUUGUAGUGCCUCCAAAUGCGCUCUCGAGCGCCAUACACCUAAAGGUGCUCAAAUUCUCAGGAUGUUAAUCAAGUUCAAACAAUGAUUAAACUUGAUUGUUGUUACCACCUUGGUCAUCAUAUCUGCGGGAUUAUCUGCUGUCGGAAUCAACAUAUCCAACUACAAACUGACCAAGUGCUUCAUCCUGUUCAAAAAUUAAACCAACAUCUACGGUUUUUCGAAGAUACCGUAGAAUCCAUUUCACAGCUUGCCAAUGUCCUUUUCCAGGAUCAUGCAUAUACCUGCUCACAACUCCAACAGCUUGUGAAAUGUCAGGCCUCGUACACACCAUCGCAUACAUCAAACUCCCAACUGCAUUAGCAUAUGGGACUUUUGCCAUAUAUUCUCUUUCAUCUUCAGUCUUCGGAGAUAAUUGAGCACUAAGUUUCAAAUGAGAAGCAAGUGGGGUACUUACAUGUUUUGUGUUUUCAUUUACACCAAAACAUUGUAAUACCUUUUUCAGAUAUUGCUUCUGAUUUAAACAGAGCUUGCCUCUCGGUCUAUCUCUACUUAUCUCCAUGCCGAGAAUCUUCUUGGCCUCACCUAGAUCUUUCAUCUCGAACUCUUGAUUCAACUGAGCCUUCAGCUUAUCUAUCUCAUUUUGGCUCUUCGAAGCGAUUAACAUAUCAUCAACAUACAAGAGUAGAUAAAUGAAAGAUCCGUCAUGCAGCUUCUGCAAAUACACACAAUUGUCAUAUUUGCUUCUUGUGUACUUCUGCCUUCUCAUAAAGCUAUCAAAUCGCUUGUACCACUGCCUCGGGGAUUGUUUCAAUCCAUAUAGCGAUUUGUUCAGCUUACAAACCCAGUUUCUACCACCAGCAUCUGUGUAUCCUUCGGGCUGAGUCAUAUAGAUCUCCUCUUCUAACUCACCAUGCAAGAAAGCCGUCUUAACAUCAAGUUGAGCUAGCUCCAAAUUCAACUGUGCUACCAAGGCCAACAAAAUUCUAAUGGAGGAAUGCUUCACAACAGGGGAAAAUACAUCAUUGUAGUCAAUUCCCUCCUUCUGAGCGUAGCCUUUAGCUACCAAUCUUGCCUUGUAGCGAAUAUCCUUCUUGCUAGGAGAUCCAUCUUUCUUUGCGAAUACCCACUUGCAUCCGAUUGCCCUUUUACCUUUUGGUAAUUGCGCCAACUCCCAAGUAUUGUUCUUCCGGAGAGACUGCAUUUCUUCAUCCAUGGCGCUUUUCCAUUUAUCACUUUCUAAGCUUUGCAUUGCUUCUUGAUAAGUGAUAGGAAUAUCAUCAACAACGGGAAGGGCGUAGGCCACCAUAUCAGUAAAUCGAGCAGGUUUACGAAUUUCUCUCCGUGGCCUUGCAACUGCAACUGGUUCUGGUGUACUUAGUGGUUCUUGGGUCAGAACCUCUUCAACCUCUAAUUCCUCCAUUGUGGCUGGAGAAUUAGACUUAUUAACUGGGCAAAUCCCCAUCUGCUCAAACUCCACCUGUUUUGGAGUACACUCCACCUGCUGUGGAGUAUUGCUCGUCUGAAUAUCUUUAUCUGCUACCUUUUUCAAUGUGGCAGAUUCAUCAAAGGUAACAUCUCUGCUACAGAUCAUUUUCUUUGUGCUUAAGCACCAAAGACGAAAUCCCUUCACUCCAGAAGUGAUUCCCAUAAAGAGAGCUUUCUUUGCCCUCGGAUCUAACUUUGACUCCUUCACAUGGUAAUAUGCAGUGGUUCCAAACACAUGUAAGGAAUCAUAAUCUGUAGCCGGUUUUCCAUACCAUACCUCCAUAGGAGUUUUUCUUUCUAAUGCAGAUGAUGGCAAAGGAUUAACAAGAUGGCCAGCGUAUGUCACAGCCUCAGCCCAAAAUUGCUUGCCCAACCCAGCAUUGGACAACAUACAUCGAACUUUCUCCAGCAAUGUUCGAUUCAUACGCUCUGCCACUCCAUUCUGUUGUGGUGUAUCCCUAACUGUGAAGUGUCGAACAAUACCAUACUCUUGGCACACAUCGAAGAACGGAUCACUUUUAUAUUCCCCUCCAUUGUCCGUCCUAAGCCGCUUGAUUUUCUUGCCAGUCUGGUUUUCGAUCAUAGUUUUCCAUUUAAGAAAAACUCCAAGCACUUCAUCUUUAGUUUUCAUGGUAUACACCCAAACUCUUCUGGAAAAGUCAUCAACAAAAGUAACAAAGUAGUGUUUUCCUCCCAACGAAGGUGUCUUGGAAGGCCCCCACACAUCUGAGUGAAUAUAUUCCAAAAUACCUUUCGUAUUAUGGAUAGCAGUGCCAAAUUUCACUCUCUUUUGCUUUCCCAGAACACAGUGCUCACAAAAUUUUAAUUUGCAAGCCUUUGCACCUUUCAACAAUCCUUGCUUUGCCAGAAUUUGCAAGGAUUUUUUGCUGGCAUGUCCCAACUUCAUAUGCCACAACUGCAUUGAGUCCAAGUCUUUGUUACCGGAAGCUGCAGCGACUGCUCCAAUAACUGUACUACCUUGGUAGUAAUACAAGUUAUUUUUCCUGAUGCCCUUCAAUAUUACAAGUGCGCCAGAUGUCACUUUCAAAAUCCCAUCUCUCAUAGUAACAACUGAACCAUUGGAUUCCAAGGCUCCCAAUGAGAUGAGAUUUUUCUUCAAACUGGGCACGUACCGAACAUCAGUCAGAACUCUGGUUGAUCCAUCUUGAUUCUUUAAUUGGAUUGAACCUAUCCCAACAGUUUUACAGGCAUUGUCAUUGCCCAUAUAAACAACUCCUCCAUUUAGUUCUACUAAAUCAGAGAACCACUCCCGGUUAGGGGACAUAUGAUAGGUACAACCCGAAUCCAAUAUCCACUCAUCUGAAUGGAACGACGAUGAUGAUGCAACCAGUGAUAGUUCAGAGUCACUAGUAUCAUGCUUAGCAACACAAGCAUCUACAGCAGCUUUUCCCUUAUUCUUCAGCUUUGGACAAUUUUUCUUCCAGUGGCCUUUCUCAUGACAAAAAGCACAUUCAUCUUUCCCGAGUCUGGACUUUGACUUUGAUCUCCCCUUUUGAGUUUUCUUCCGAGUGUAUAAACGACCUCGGACUACUAAAGCUUCUGUAUCUCUGAUUGAGUUUUUCUGUUUGUCCUUCUUUCUCUGUUCAUAACUGUAUAAGGCCGCACAGACUUCGCUCAGAGAUAUAUCACUCCUGCCAUGAAGUAGAGUAGUUUCUAGGAACUCAAACUCCUCAGGAAGUGACCCCAACAGCAUCAAAGCCAAAUCUUCAUCUUUGAAUGUCUCAUCCAUAUUCAGCAAAUCAGUGACUAACUGAUUAAAUUUGGUGAUGUGAUCAUUCAUUGUGGUACUUGGGACGUAUGUGAAGCGAAACAGUCUUUUCUUCAAGUGGAGCUUAUUUUGACUGUUUUUCUUCAAAAAUUUUUCUUCAAGUGCCACCCACAACUUAUUUGCAGAAGUCUCCUUUGAAAAAGCAUACCUCUGCUCUCGAGAAAGGCAUGAUCGAAUUGUGCCACAUGUCAACCGAUUGAUCGCCUUCCAAUCUUUCUCCUGUACAUCAUCUGGUUUCUCUUCAUCAAUGGCAAUGUCUAGACCCUGCUGAAAAAGGGCAUCUAGAACCUCACUUUGCCACAUACCAAAAUGGCCCGUGCCAUCAAAGAUCUCCACGGCCAAUCUUGCAUUUGCAAUUGUCGGUCUUGUCCACAUGGACGAUGUUGAAGCUCCUACACCGACCGUUUUCUCCAUAAUCUUUCAAUAUAUACCUAAGGAAAUCUUUUCUGAUGUGGAAGAUCAGUUUAAACUGCAACCACAGAGCAUACUACGAUUAACCUUCGGCUCUUGAUACCACUUGUUGUUCCAAUAGGGUCGGAAGCGUGUAAAUUAUUGUACUAAAAAAUCACACAAAGUUCAAUUCCCAGGGAAGAGAGGUGGAUCACAUGGAUCUCUUAAAUACCAAGUCUUUCCUUAGACAGAAUAUCCCUUCUAUAGUAAUUUAAUAGCACAAUUAAAUACUACUAUUAUACCCUCAAAUAUUGAAAGAAAAAUAGGACAAGAAAGAACACAAGAGAUUUAACGAGGUUCGGUAAAUUAUACCUACGUCCUCGGGCACUAACACCAAAUGAUAACUUUACUAUCUCCAAAAUAUUACAAACAAAUAGAAUUCCUUAAGAAUUCUCAAAUGGGAGAAGAGAGAAAACUAAGAGAGAAAGAUUGGUUGGGAUGGUUGAAAUGAAAAAUGAAAAGGCCUAUUUAUAGUUGAGGUUCAGGGACUAACUUGCAAAUGGCCUAAAAAAUUAGGGACCAAAAUUGCAAUUAUCCCAUUCAACUUUUCAACAUUCGGUGCAACUUGCUCAACCU